NGACCUCAAAUCAGGUAGGACUACCCGCUGAACUUAAGCA
This 40-nucleotide ribosomal RNA is filed under the name Boletus discolor. RNAcentral's name for it is "partial 28S ribosomal RNA". The record is from RNAcentral. Lineage: Eukaryota; Fungi; Basidiomycota; Agaricomycetes; Boletales; Boletaceae.